Molecule: ribosomal RNA, 434 nt
Filed under: uncultured bacterium
Lineage: Bacteria
Description: partial 16S ribosomal RNA
Rfam family: Bacterial small subunit ribosomal RNA
Source: RNAcentral
AGCGAACGCUGGCGGCAGGCCUAACACAUGCAAGUCGAACGAACCUUUCGGGGUUAGUGGCGGACGGGUGAGUAACACGUGGGAACGUGCCUUUAGGUUCGGAAUAACUCAGGGAAACUUGUGCUAAUACCGAAUGUGCUCUUCGGGGGAAAGAUUUAUCGCCUUUAGAGCGGCCCGCGUCUGCUUAGCUAGGUGGUUGAGGAAAUGGCUCACCAAGGCGACGAUCAGUAGGUGGUCUGAGAGGAAGGUCAGCCACAUUGGGACUGAGACACGGCCGGGACUCCUACGGGAGGCAGGAGUGGGGAAUCUAGCGCAAUGGGCGAAAGCCUGACGCAGCCAUGCCGCGUGAAUGAUGAAGGUCGUAGGAAUGUAAAAUUCUUUCACCGGGGACGAUAAUGACGGUACCCGGAGAAGAAGCCCCGGCUAACUUCGUG